This 119-nucleotide ribosomal RNA is filed under the name Pteropus alecto (black flying fox). Lineage: Eukaryota; Metazoa; Chordata; Mammalia; Chiroptera; Pteropodidae. The record is from RNAcentral.
GUCUAUGGCCAUGCUACCCUGAACAAGCCUGAUCCUGUCUGAUCUUGGAAGCUAAGCAGGGUCAGGCCUGGUUAGUACUUGGAUGGGAGACCACCAAAGAAGACCAGGUGCUGUAGGCG